This 425-nucleotide ribosomal RNA is filed under the name uncultured bacterium. RNAcentral describes it as "partial 16S ribosomal RNA". It matches the Rfam family "Bacterial small subunit ribosomal RNA", at positions 354 to 796 of the family's 1533-position model. The record is from RNAcentral.
GUUAGGAAUAUUGGACAAUGGGCGCAAGCCUAAUCCAGCCAUGCCGCGUGAGUGAUGAAGGCCUUCGGGUUGUAAAGCUCUUUAGUCCACGAAUAUAAUGACUGUAGUGGAAGAAUAAGCCCCGGCUAACUUCGUGCCAGCAGCCGCGGUAAUACGAAGGGGGCGAGCGUUAUUCGGAAUCACUGGGCGUAAAGCGUGCGUAGGCUGUUUUGUAAGUCAGAAGUGAAAGCCCAGGGCUUAACCCUGGAAUUGCUUUUGAAACUACAAGACUCGAAUUCGGGAGAGGAUAGCGGAAUUGUCAGUGUAGCAGUGAAAUGCGUAGAUAUUGACAGGAACACCAGUGGCGCAAGCGGCUAUCUGGACCGAUAUUGACGCUGAGGCACGAAAGCGUGGGGAGCAAACAGGAUUAGAUACCCGGGUAGUCC